UGGGGAAUUUUGGACAAUGGGCGAAAGCCUGAUCCAGCAAUGCCGCGUGUGUGAAGAAGGCCUUCGGGUUGUAAAGCACUUUUGUCCGGAAAGAAAUGGCUCUGGUUAAUACCUGGGGUCGAUGACGGUACCGGAAGAAUAAGGACCGGCUAACUACGUGCCAGCAGCCGCGGUAAUACGUAGGGUCCAAGCGUUAAUCGGAAUUACUGGGCGUAAAGCGUGCGCAGGCGGUUGUGCAAGACCGAUGUGAAAUCCCCGAGCUUAACUUGGGAAUUGCAUUGGUGACUGCACGGCUAGAGUGCGUCAGAGGGGGGUAGAAUUCCACGUGUAGCAGUGAAAUGCGUAGAGAUGUGGAGGAACACCGAUGGCGAAGGCAG
This 377-nucleotide ribosomal RNA is filed under the name uncultured bacterium. Its description in RNAcentral is "bacterial SSU rRNA". It matches the Rfam family "Bacterial small subunit ribosomal RNA", at positions 355 to 724 of the family's 1533-position model. The record is from RNAcentral.